Molecule: ribosomal RNA, 484 nt
Filed under: uncultured bacterium
Lineage: Bacteria
Description: partial 16S ribosomal RNA
Rfam family: Bacterial small subunit ribosomal RNA
Source: RNAcentral
AUUGAACGCUGGCGGCAGGCCUAACACAUGCAAGUCGAGCGGAUGAAGGGAGCUUGCUCCUGGAUUCAGCGGCGGACGGGUGAGUAAUGCCUAGGAAUCUGCCUGGUAGUGGGGGAUAACGUCCGGAAACGGGCGCUAAUACCGCAUACGUCCUGAGGGAGAAAGUGGGGGAUCUUCGGACCUCACGCUAUCAGAUGAGCCUAGGUCGGAUUAGCUAGUUGGUGGGGUAAAGGCCUACCAAGGCGACGAUCCGUAACUGGUCUGAGAGGAUGAUCAGGCACACUGGAACUGAGACACGGUCCAGACUCCUACGGGAGGCAGCAGUGGGGAAUAUUGGACGAUGGGCGAAAGCCUGAUCCAGCCAUGCCGCGUGUGUGAAGAAGGUCUUCGGAUUGUAAAGCACUUUAAGUUGGGAGGAAGGGCAGUAAGUUAAUACCUUGCUGUUUUGACGUUACCAACAGAAUAAGCACCGGCUAACUUCGUG